UGUCUUCAGGGCGGGGUGCGAUUCCCCACCGGCGGUAUAGUCCGCGACCGGCCAUCCGAAAGGAUGUCCGCUGACCCGGUGAAACUCCGGGACCGACAGUGAAGCCUCCAUGCGGAGGCGACAGUCUGGAUGGAAGAAGAU
RNAcentral lists this non-coding RNA (141 nucleotides) under Oscillibacter ruminantium. RNAcentral's name for it is "FMN riboswitch (RFN element)". It matches the Rfam family "FMN riboswitch aptamer (RFN element)". Rfam says of the family: The RFN element is a highly conserved domain that is found frequently in the 5'-untranslated regions of prokaryotic mRNAs that encode for flavin mononucleotide (FMN) biosynthesis and transport proteins. This element is a metabolite-dependent riboswitch that directly binds FMN in the absence of proteins. In Bacillus subtilis, the riboswitch most likely controls gene expression by causing premature transcription termination within the 5' untranslated region of the ribDEAHT operon and precluding access to the ribosome-binding site of ypaA mRNA. The record is from RNAcentral. Lineage: Bacteria; Bacillati; Bacillota; Clostridia; Eubacteriales; Oscillospiraceae.